AAUCGAACCCGGAGAUAGCUGGUUCUCCUCGAAAUAGCUUUAGGGCUAGCCUCAUGGAUCAUUGGUGGGGGUAGAGCACUGAAUGUGCGCGGGGGCCACAAAGCCUACCAAACGCUAUCAAACUUCGAAUACCAUACAAUGCAGACCAUGGGAGUCAGUCCGCGAGAGAUAAGUUCCGCGGGCAAAAGGGGAACACCCCAGAUCAACCGCUAAGGUCCCCAAGUUCACGUUAAGUGGAGAAGGAUGUGGAAUUGCACAGACAACCAGGAUGUUGGCUCAGAAGCAGCCACACAUUUAAAGAGUGCGUAAUAGCUCACUGGUCGAGUGAUUGUGCGCCGAAGAUGUCCGGGGCUAAACGUGACACCGAAGCGAUGGGUGCAUCUGAAAGGAUGCGCGGUAGAGGAGCAAUGUGCAGAGGCAGAAGCCGUAUCGAGAGGCACGGUGGACACUGCACAAGAGAGAAUGCCGGUAUGAGUAGCGAGAGGCAUGCGAGAAACAUGCCCGUCGAAAGCCCAAGGUUUCCUGGGGAAGGUUCAUCCGCCCAGGGUAAGUCGGGGCCUAAGCCGAGGACGGAAGUCGUAGGCGAUGGACAGCAGGUGUAGAUUCCUGCACUACCGAUGGAAUGAAGCAGUGACACAGAAGGAUAACUCGAGCAGGGUGAUGGUCAACCCUGUGCAAGCAUCAAGGUUGGGUUGUAGUGAAGUACGCAAUCCUAUAAGCUGAGGUGUGAUGCGGACCGAAAUUUCAGUAGGGAAGCGAGUGAGUUCACGCUGGCGAGAAAAGCUGCUAGUACAUCCAAAGGUACCCGUACCGGAAACCGACGCAGGUGGGCGAGGAGAGAAUCCUGAGACGAACGGGAGAACCCUUGUUAAGGAACUCGGCAAAAUGACCCCGUAACUUCGGGAUAAGGGGUGCCUGCGAGAGCAGGCCGCAGAGAAUAGUCACAAGCGACUGUUUAGCAAAAACACAGGUAUCUGCGAAAGCGAGAGCUGACGUAUAGGUGCUGACACCUGCCCGGUGCUGGAAGGUUAAGGGAACAUGUUAGAGCAAUCGAAGCAUCGAACCGAAGCCCCAGUAAACGGCGGCCGUAACUAUAACGGUCCUAAGGUAGCGAAAUUCCUUGUCGGGUAAGUUCCGACCCGCACGAAUGGUGUAACGACUUGUGAGCUGUCUCAACAGGGGGCCCGGUGAAAUUGAAGUAUGGGUGAAGAUGCCCAUUACCCGCGACUGGACGGAAAGACCCCGUAGAGCUUUACUGCAGCCUGAUAUUGAGUUUCGGUAACUGAUGCACAGGAUAGGUGGGAGUCUGAGAGACAUGGGUUUCGGCUCAUGAGGAGACGAUGUUGGGAUACCACUCUUCGGUUACUGAAAUUCUAACAUAGCUCUGUGAAACCAGAGGAUGGACAGUGUCAGGUGGACAGUUUGACUGGGGCGGUCGCCUCCGAAAGAGUAACGGAGGCGCCCAAAGGUACCCUCAGAAUGGAUGGAAACCAUUCGAAGAGCGCAAAGGCAGAAGGGUGCCUGACUGCGAGAUUGACAAAUCGAGCAGAGACGAAAGUCGGGCUUAGUGAUCCGGCGGUAUUGAGUGGAAAAGCCGUCGCUUAACGGAUAAAAGCUACCUCGGGGAUAACAGGCUGAUCUCCCCCAAGAGUCCACAUCGACGGGGAGGUUUGGCACCUCGAUGUCGGCUCAUCGCAUCCUGGGGCUGUAUUCGGUCCCAAGGGUUUGGCUGUUCGCCAAUUAAAGCGGCACGCGAGCUGGGUUCAGAACGUCGUGAGACAGUUCGGUCCCUAUCCAUCGUGGGCGUAGGAGUCAUGAGAGGAGCUGUUCCUAGUACGAGAGGACCGGAAUGGACGCACCACUGGUGCAACUGUUGUCGUGCCAACGGCAUAGCAGGGAAGCGAAGUGCGGAUGGGAUAAACGCUGAAGGCAUCUAAGCGUGAAGCCCACCUCAAGAAUAAGACUCCACAAUAGACCCCUGGAGGACUACCAGGUAGAUAGGUCAUCGGUGGAAGCGCUGUAAGGCGUGU
This 2030-nucleotide ribosomal RNA is filed under the name human gut metagenome. RNAcentral's name for it is "bacterial LSU rRNA". It matches the Rfam family "Bacterial large subunit ribosomal RNA", at positions 831 to 2888 of the family's 2925-position model. The record is from RNAcentral.